UCCAACCUCAAAUUUCAAUUUUCUAAAUACGAAACAUUUCCGUGAACCGCGCACAUUGCGCCGAUCGAUUUGAAAAUCGUUGGGGGGACAAAAAGGUGGGCGGGGUCCACAUGCACGGAAUCAAAGGGGUUUAAUUGGAGAGUGGCAUGGCUUUUCAACGACGUGGCAUUAGAGCUGCAUUGAACACGUGGAAUGAUCGAAACCUGUGUUUUCUACGUCAUUUUUCAACAAAAGUGGUCUGAUUCCGAGGAAACUUGUCAAUGAUCGUGCUAUACAAUGGACACAGGAUUCUACAAGGCAGAAGUUCUGAAAUUUGACAAUAAAUGGAGACCAAGAACAUUUUCUUUUAUAAAUCCAAGUUUCUUCUAUUGUUACAGGAGCAAUGAUUUAUUUCAGGAACCUGAGCAUACAGAUGUUGUUGAUAAAAAGAAGUUACCUAUUGUAAAACAGAAUGAAAACUGCAAGUACAAAGGGAGAGGCUGUAUAUUUUUUAUUUGAAAUAUUUAAAUAUGAAUGGUGAAAAAGGAAGAAAAAUGUGCAAAAAAUAAAUAUCAUUUUUAAGAGUAUCUAUUUUGCAUUUAACUGCAUUUUAAUAAGUACUCCAUCAUAUUUGAAAUUGCAUAUUAUACAUGGCUGUCAGGCAAUGCAAUGCUUCAAAAUGAUCCAAGAUUCACUUUGUGUGGGUGAUAUAUGUAUUUGCUCGCAUUCCACGUGUCAGUUCAAUUAAGUCUCAUAUACAUCAAGAUCCUUGAUGCAUAACGAGAAUUCUAGGGAAAAAAAAAUGAAACAGCCGAGAAGAACACUUUGAUAUUCAAAAAAGAAAGAUUUUCUUUUGAAAUAUAUAAAUUUAUAAAUGAAUAAUAACUUGAUUAACUUAUAUGAAAUAUUCUAUAUCCAUAAAUGAACAUUUCAAGUAACAACAUCCUGAUAAUUACAAUUAAUAAAAGAAUUCAUUAAAAAUAUAAUAAAUUGUCGCAUCUCUUGAAGAUUUAAAGUUUUAGAUCAAAUUGUAUGAAACAUCCUGUGUCCACGAUAUUUAACUUUCAGUAGUAAAAUCAAGCAAUUACAAUCGAUAAAAAGAAUUCAUUAAAAAAUUCAAUGAGUUGUCACACUUCUUAAAAGCCGUUCAUUACCUGGCCAUAACAUGAAAUAUUUCGAGGACAUCCAGUUCAUUAAAAACGAGUUCUCGACUCGUGAUAUUAAUUCUUCCCGAUGAUAAUUAAAGUAAGAAAGAAAACGACAAUUUACUUGGAGCAACUUAAUACAAUGAGUUCAUUAAUGAGGAUCCAUACAUCACAGAUUAUGCAAGAUAUAUGAGUGUUGGCCACAGGCAUCGAUAAUUAACAGUUGAAUCAAAAUGAUCAUUCGAUGUGUAAUAGCAUCACAAUUAUUCACGUCGAUCGACACACUGCUGAUCACGUUAUACCUAUUGUCACUGCAUUUGACAGACGCGUCAAUCAAUUUAUAACACAGGCACGGAAGCUAUACGUCCCGUGCAUCCUGAAACAUGGCGAUCAACGGAAGCCCUCGAAAGUGAAAAAUCCCUUGAAAAAUAGAACGGCUGCCAGGAUGAUCCGUUGUAUAUUGGAGAUAGUUUGGUGAAAAUUGAAAUUUUUCAUCGCGCCGCUUGAACCAUUGUGCAGGGCAUAACAGAGCAAAGCAGAGUAAAUUUUAAGGAAGGAAAUAGGAAGGAUAAAAGAUAUGAAAGGAUCAUAAAAAUAAGAAAUAGACAUGAAGAGAAGAGAAAAAGAUAGAUGAAGAUUAAAAAUAAGAAAAAGAAUG
Molecule: long non-coding RNA, 1782 nt
Organism: Apis laboriosa (Himalayan honeybee)
Lineage: Eukaryota; Metazoa; Arthropoda; Insecta; Hymenoptera; Apidae
Exons: 7
Source: RefSeq, a predicted model, not a curated record